AGAGAGAGAGAGACGGGGAGAUAGGGUGAUAGCCCAAAUGGUUCACGUCAUUCUCGCCCGUUACAACGCAGCCCACGCCGCCCCAGUCAAGCUGUUCUCAGCGCGCCUUCACCCUCGGCAAGGCCGCCCGACGUCCCGCCUACUCGUUCCGAAGGCUGGGGUUGUGCCCCGGCGUGGCCAUUCCCCGUGCACGAGCCUUGUCCAGUUCGUCUCCCACGGAGCGCUGAUACUUGGAGAACUAGGCCUGUCAGUCCAAGGAGGCACUGUUUCAGGACAUUAAGAUGGAGAUUUUCGGCUGGAGCAAAGAUUAUGGCCGAUAGUUUUCCUCUAACUUUGUUCUUUCUGAUUUAAAUUUUUUUCCCUUCUUGAUUGGGUUCUCUUAUGACAUUGUUCUCUCUCUCACGUUCUACAAUUGGGACACGUGGUGCAAUCCUUGAAGCAAAUGCAUGGGUACAUAAUGGGACUAUUUCAACAGCCUUAUGAGCUUGGAGAGGAAGACUAGUUCAGUUGAAGGUCUUAUUCGAGGAGUUCAUUGAUUCUUUCUUUGAUUAUUUUCUUAGUAAGAAAAAUUAUCAUGCGUUUUCCUCUCAUAAGGUACCCAUCGCUUAAUUUCCUUUGUUAUCCCUUAUUACGCAUUGAUUUAAUUGUGCUUUCAGGCGAGACAUAAAUACCUUCCUAAAAAAUGUACAACUUUAUUGUUAGGAUAUUAACAAUACUCGAUUUCAUAGUUACAACACCCCCUAUGAUAUAAACUCUACAAGUCUAUAUCAUUGACUAAAUUUAUAGGCUCCCUAGAAACCUAUUACAACCCAUACUUCAUAAGUCUAUUAUUUAUAGCUAGAUUUCGAGAUUCUCUAGAACCUAUAAAAUAUACUCCACAAGUCUUAUCUAUAAAAUAUACUCAAAUCUCUAGUGAUCUUUAAUGAUAUAAAAUAUUUAGCUCAAAUGUAUUGUCAUCUUUUUAUGAAGAACUUAGUGGAAAAAGAUGAGUGUGAUGAAGCUCUUUUACAUUCUAAGUAACAAGAGAUCUUUAUAGGUAGCAAAAGCUCGGUAUCAUGGCUAUAACAAUGCUUCAAGUUAGACAAAGUUUACUUUGGAGACUCUUGAAGGAUGAAGAUGAGGAUAGAUCUUGUCACUCUCUCUUUGACUUUGGAUGUUUCAAUUUUCAUUCGCAUGUCUUACUGUAAUUUUGACAAUUGGCCUCUUUUUAUCCUCAGCUUAUUUGAACAAACAAUUGGGUCAAUGGCAAGUUGAGCCGAUCUUAGUGGCCAGCACGUGUGCCC
RNAcentral lists this long non-coding RNA (1283 nucleotides) under Spirodela polyrhiza (greater duckweed). RNAcentral describes it as "long non-coding RNA (SPOL_LNC001010)". The record is from RNAcentral. Lineage: Eukaryota; Viridiplantae; Streptophyta; Magnoliopsida; Alismatales; Araceae.